Long non-coding RNA from Lycium barbarum (goji berry), 3072 nucleotides. RefSeq lists it as uncharacterized. The record is from RefSeq and is a predicted model, not a curated record. NCBI's taxonomy places the organism in Eukaryota, Viridiplantae, Streptophyta, Magnoliopsida, Solanales, Solanaceae. The transcript has 2 exons.
UAUAAUUGUGUUAAAAAUUUAAGGAUUGAGUUAUUAUUUAGGUUGUACCUAAAACAUGUGAAUAUUGAAGAAGGGGGGCCCACAACUGGCAUUGUUUUGGGACCACUGGUUGGUGAAAAAAAAUAAUAAAGAAAUCAGAGUAGCUCUAGGACUUCACAUAUUGAGGGGGAUAUAAAUGAGAUCUUAAAUGAGGCAGCUAGAGUUCAACAAGUUGAGGAAGAAAAUAGUAGUGAUAGUGACAUUCUUGACUUUGAAGAAAGAGACUUAGAUGGUGUUCCGGGUAAGGAUGAACGUGAAGUUGAUGAAGAAUUGAGAGCUUCUAGAGAAAAUUUAAGGGAACAAAAGAGAAGUGAAGCUACAAAGUCACAAAAGAGACCUAAAAAAACUUUUAAGCUUCAAGUAGUUGAGCUUGAAGAAGCUGAUGGAGAUAGGUUAUCUGAAUACUAUUUCAAGAUCAAGGCAUACAAAUAUGAUACAUUGGGUGGUAAUGAGCACUUCUUUGAUUCAUCAGAUGUUGCAAGUGAAGAUAUUGAUGAAGAGCUAGAUGUCCUGGCACAAUCAGAUGUUGAUUUACCUUCCAGAAGAAAAAAGUAGAAAGUUAUGAUAUGAUGAUGCUUCUGUCAUUUCUUUCUUUGAUUUGCGAAUGAUAUUUGAAUGUGCAAUACAGUUCAGAAAAGUUGUGGCUGAUUAUUCUAUUCAAGAGAAUGUUCAAUUAAAGCUAAGAUCCAAUGAACCUCAUAUAGUAAGGGUAGAAUGUUCGGGAAAGUGUAGCUUGGAUAAAGACUCAGGGAUUGAAAAAGUAUUAUCCAGCUCAUAAAUGUAUUACAAAGAACAUCAACAAGCUAUGCUCUGCCACAAAUGUUGCUAGAAAGAUGAAGGACAUAAUAUCUUAACCUGACAUUAGAGUUCAUAAAUCUCAAGAGAAAUAAGAACAGAUUGGGGGUUACAAGUGGGAAGAUCAAUCUGCUAAGACCAAAAUGAGAGUUAUCAUCAAGUUCAUGGAUGAUUGAAAUCUUGAAAAUAUGAUUAAGAGCACAAAUUCUGAGACUUUUUGUUGGGUUAGAACUGAGACAGUCCCUGGCAAACAGUUGUUCAAAUACUUUUAUGUAUGCUUUGCUGCAGAAGAAUGGAUAGCUAGAAGGUUGUAGGAAGAUCAUAGGGUUAAAUGGAUGUUUUCCGAAAGACUUGUAGAGGAUAACUAUUAGUAGUUGUUGGAAGAAAUGGAAACAAACCAAGAAACUAAACACUUUUGGAGUUGGUCCUUAAGCUAUCUCAUUCAAGAUUUGAAGCUUGGUGAUGCCUGACAUGCGAAAAGUAUGCUUUUCUUCCUUUUUUUUUUUUUUAAAAAAAAAAAAACAGUUUUGCCAAUUUUUAAUUAAUUGUUUUGCCAAUUUAUUUUAAAAAUUAUUUUGACGUUUUUUUAAAAAAAAUUGUUCUACCAAUUUCCGUUAUACAUUUUUUAUUAACUGUUAUUGCUUCAAUGUUUGCCCAUAAACGCAUUGUUCUGCUUAUUAAGGUUUUGAAUCAAUUGUCUCUGAUUUACUUCCUAUUGCUGAAAGAAGAAUGUGUGCAAGACAUAUUUGGACAAACUAAUAAAAAAUAUUGGAGAGGUGAAGAAAGGAGAAAAGCAUUUUGAUGGUGUGCCAAGACUAGUUUUAAGGUAAAAUUGAGAGAAUAAUUUAAAUAUUUGGGAAACUUUGACACAAAAUAUGUCAGUUGUUACUUAUCUAUAAUAAAGAAUACUGGUGUAGGACUAUGUUUAGUGAAAGAGCUAAGUAUGAUGUGGUGGAAAAUAAUAUGUGAGAACAUUUAAGUCUUAGAUGGUUGGUCUUAGAUACAUAUCUGUGAUUAGUAUGCUUGAAGAUAUUAGACAUAAGUUGAUGGAUAGGCAUGGAGAUAUGAUUGAAUUUUGCUAAAACUUGGGUCAAUGACAUCUCACCCAUGGCAAUACUAGUUUUACGAGAAAACUAAGUUGUUGGUAGGAGACUCAAGGUGAAUUGGAAUGAUGACACUCAUUUGAGGUUCAGAAAGGUGAUUAUAGUCACACAAUUGAUAUGGUUAGGAAAACAUUAGCUGCAGGUUGUGGCAGUUGAGGGGUAUCCCUUGCCAGAAUCUAGUUUGUGCCUUGUUUCACAUUACGGAAGAACCAGAAGACUAUGUGGAGCAUUGGUAUAGAAAAAAUAACAUUCCUAAGUGCUUAUAUGUACUUAAUACAACCAAUCCCUGAUAUGAUAAUGUGGCCUAAAAUCAAUAACCCACCAAGAAGCCUUCUGAUGUGAAGUCAAUGGCUGGGAGAUUCAAAAGAUGUAGAAGAAAAGACAAUGAUGAACCAAGAAAAAAAAUGAAGGAAAGCAUUAAAAAAAGGAGUCACAAUGACAUGUUUCAGUUGUCAUCAAGUUGGGCACAACAAAAAGGACUGCAAAUCAGGGGUAAGCAUUUUCUUUUUUUUUUCUUUUCAGUUUUUUAAUUUAAUCCUUUUUAGACUUCCAACUCUUUUUCCUAUAUGUAUAUCCCUCUCAAUAGCCAACUACGACCACUAAAUCAAGGACAAUGACUCAACCUAACACUCAACAGUCCUCUUCUUUAUGUUAAGAAAUUUCAAGAGUUAGAGGAACAAGAAGACAUAUAGUUGGUUCUUCAACUGCUACAUCAAUGGAUGCAACUACAAAAGCAGUAUCUGCUUCAUUUGGAAGAAAAAGAACAAGAGACAUGAAAUUUGGUGUUUAAACAGACAUACAAUCUGGAAGACAAGUCAGUAAUUUUAAGAGACCAAUUGAAAGAGUUAUCUCAAGUGGGACAACUUUAAAGGAUGCAUCACUAAUAAAUAUUGAUUUUGGAUUCAAGCCAUUUGAUUUGGAAUGGAAAGGGAAAAAUGCUAUUACUGGGAACCAACUUCAGCAAAUGCAGCACCCAAAAAGAUGCAAACCAAGUCUAAAAAUAAGAGUUCAACUCAAUCACGAGAUGGCUAGUUGAUGUGGUUUCUGUUGGACAGCCUUCCUUUGGGUUAUUUUGAUGUAUGUUAGCAUUUAGACUUGCCAUUUACACUAUCUAAAGGUUGAUUAUGUUGAUGUA